AUGUUUUGAAGAUCUGUAUUGCAGAUGCUUCAUCAGUUUGUAAGACAUGAGUCCAAAAUAUCCAGCAGUUUGGUUUUUGAAAGAUCUCUGAAUCAUGUGCAGUUACUUUGGCAAGUGGGCCAAGACCCUGUGAUUUAAUAGUUGGGGGAAAAAAAAUCUAGUCACCACAUUUUCUCUGCCCACAAAUGAGAUAUGGCAAUCAAGGGAAAGUGAGGUAUACGAAAUGGGUGCUUAGAUGGGUUAAUUUACUUGUUAAUAUUAGGGAAAUAAUGUACAGUACUAAAGAGCUAAUUAGGAAGAUGAUUAUUAGGGUAUGACCAUGAAAGGAAAGGAGUUUUUCUAUAAUAGGUGACGUAGUGUCUUGAAAUCCUAGCUGAAAUGGAUACGCCAGUCAAAAGUCAACACGGCGCAGAACAUCAGUAUUCCUACCCAGCCUGAGAGGUGUGGCACAUCAGUAUAUGAAAAAGAGGUCUAGAAUUUAUGUGGGAAGGAAGUAAACUAUGGUGAAUACUUGGAUACAAAUAACAUGAGGCAGCAAUCAUAGCUGAUAACAUUAUAUUUCUGAGGGACCAGACAAAAGAGAAGGCGUAG
Molecule: long non-coding RNA, 591 nt
Filed under: Homo sapiens (human)
Lineage: Eukaryota; Metazoa; Chordata; Mammalia; Primates; Hominidae
Description: non-protein coding lnc-SF3B5-3:1
Source: RNAcentral